RNAcentral lists this non-coding RNA (227 nucleotides) under Thioalkalivibrio nitratireducens. Lineage: Bacteria; Pseudomonadati; Pseudomonadota; Gammaproteobacteria; Chromatiales; Ectothiorhodospiraceae. The record is from RNAcentral.
AUCGGCAAGCACGUUUCGGGUGCCCCGGUGAGCGAACCGGGGUUAAACGGGAAACAGGUGCCGGAACCACGCGUUCCGAAGGCCUGUGCUGCCCCCGCAACGGUAAGCGUCUGGCUCCCGCAUCACACGGCCACUGUCCACCUCGGGGAUGGGAAGGCGAUGCGGGACGGCCUGAAGAUUCAGGCAACGGCGCGAGCCCGGAUACCGGCCCGAACGACAUCCACGAA